This 495-nucleotide ribosomal RNA is filed under the name Pectinopygus farallonii. Its description in RNAcentral is "partial 16S ribosomal RNA". It matches the Rfam family "Bacterial large subunit ribosomal RNA", at positions 1807 to 2608 of the family's 2925-position model. Lineage: Eukaryota; Metazoa; Arthropoda; Insecta; Psocodea; Philopteridae. The record is from RNAcentral.
ACAAAAACAUGGCCUCUAGGAGGGAAUAUGAGGUCGGACCUGCCCAAUGUAAGAUCAAUGGCCGCGGGAUUUUAACCGUGCUAAGGUAGCAUAAUCAAUCGUCUCUUAAUAGGAGAAUGGCAUGAAGGGUUUGACGAGGGGGGCACUGUCUCCUGGGUGUUAGGACGAAAUUGGGGGGUAAGUAAAAACACUCACAUUCUGUGGAGGGACGAAAAGACCCUAAGAUCUUAGUCAGGACCAGGCAAAUUUGCUGAAGUUUUGAUUUCCCUGGGAAGGGGCAUACAAUAAACUGUUGUGACUAGAAAGGUUACAGACCAAACAGCGAACCUUCGGGAGAAAAAGGAAAAAGUUACCUUAGGGAUAACAGCAGAAUACCGACUAAAGAGACCAAACCUCUAGUAGGGCUUCUGACCUCGAUGUUGAAUUAAGAUGUUAUCUAGGGGCAGAAAUCUAGAUUGUAGGAUCGUUCAUCCUUUAAAAUCUCACGUGAUCUGA